RNAcentral lists this ribosomal RNA (2881 nucleotides) under Microcystis flos-aquae DF17. Its description in RNAcentral is "bacterial LSU rRNA". It matches the Rfam family "Bacterial large subunit ribosomal RNA". Lineage: Bacteria; Bacillati; Cyanobacteriota; Cyanophyceae; Chroococcales; Microcystaceae. The record is from RNAcentral.
AGGUCAAGCUAAUAAGGGCUAACGGUGGAUACCUAGGCACACGGAAGCGAAGAAGGACGUAGUUACCGACGAAACGCUUCGGGGAGCGGGAAGCAAGCAUUGAUCCGAAGAUAUCCGAAUGGGGCAACCCUAAACACGACCACCUGAAUACAUAGGGUGGAGCGAGCAAACCUGGUGAACUGAAACAUCUUAGUAGCCAGAGGAAAAGAAAGCAACAGCGAUUCCCCCAGUAGCGGCGAGCGAAAAGGGAACAGCCUAAACCAAGUUCUGCGGAACUUGGGGUCGUGGGACAGUGACAAAAGACUGGGAAAUUUAGACGAAGCGGCUGAAAACCGCACCAGAGAAGGUGAAAGUCCUGUAGUCGAAAAAGGCACCAGCUUAACUGCAUCCCGAGUAGCAUGGGGCACGUGAAAUCCCGUGUGAAUCUGCCUCGACCACGAGGUAAGGCUAAAUAUUCCCGUGUGACCGAUAGAGAAACAGUACCGCGAGGGAAAGGUGAAAAGAACCCCGGAAGGGGAGUGAAAUAGAACAUGAAACCGUUAGCCUACAAGCAAUGGGAGGACGAUUGAACGUCUGACCGUGUGCCUGUUGAAGAAUGAGCCGGCGACUUACAGGUUAUGGCAGGUGAAGGGGGAAGACCCCACAGCCCCAGCGAAAGCGAGUCUGAAGAGGGCGAAGCGUCAUAAUUUGUAGACCCGAACCCGGGUGAUCUAACCAUGGCCAGGAUGAAGCUUGGGUAAAACCAAGUGGAGGUCCGAACCGACUAAUGUUGAAAAAUUAGCGGAUGAGCUGUGGUUAGGGGUGAAAUGCCAAUCGAACUCGGAGCUAGCUGGUUCUCCCCGAAAUGUGUUGAGGCGCAGCGGUAGUGGAAGUUUAGUCGGGGUAAAGCACUGUUUCGCCGCGGGCUGGGAGACCGGUACCAAGGCGAGGCAAACUCUGAAUACGGCUAAAAAAACUACCAGUGAGACGGUGGGGGAUAAGCUUCAUCGUCAAGAGGGAAACAGCCCAGACCACCAGCUAAGGUCCCCAAAUGAUAACUAAGUGAGAAAGGAGGUGGGAGUGCAUGGACAACCAGGAGGUUUGCCUAGAAGCAGCAAUCCUUAAAAGAGUGCGUAAUAGCUCACUGGUCAAGCGCUCCUGCGCCGAAAAUGAACGGGGCUAAGUUAUCUACCGAAGCUGUGGACUACAUUGUAGUGGUAGGGGAGCGUUCUAUAGGGGGUGAAGCAGUAGCGGCAAGCAGCUGUGGACUCUAUAGAAGUGAGAAUGUCGGCUUAAGUAGCGAAAAUGUGGGUGAGAAUCCCACACCCCGAAACCCCAAGGUUUCCUCCGCAAGGCUCGUCCGCGGAGGGUCAGUCAGGACCUAAGGCGAGGCUGAAAAGCGUAGUCGAUGGACAACGGGUUAACAUUCCCGUACCGAUUAAUGAUUGUGCCGGAGAACGGAGAAGGUCAACGUCAGCUGGAUGUUGGUUACCAGUGCAAGCAGUCGAGGCGAUGAGAGGUGGUGAAAACACCUGGAGCUAAGACGCGAGUCCCACCUCCCACGGGAGGGAAGUGGCGCUGAUCAAGCUUCCUAGAAAAGCCCGAACCACGUUAAUCAUUAAUUGCCUGUACCCGAAACCGACACAGGUGGGGAAGUAGAGAAUACUAAGGGGCGCGAGAUAACUCUCUCUAAGGAACUCGGCAAAAUGACCCCGUAACUUCGGGAGAAGGGGUACCCUCGCAAGAGGGUCGCAGUGAAUAGGCCCAGGCGACUGUUUACCAAAAACACAGGUCUCCGCCAAGUCGUAAGACGCAGUAUGGAGGCUGACGCCUGCCCAGUGCCGGAAGGUUAAGGAAGUUGGUCAGGAGUAAUCUGAAGCUGACGACCGAAGCCCCGGUGAACGGCGGCCGUAACUAUAACGGUCCUAAGGUAGCGAAAUUCCUUGUCGGGUAAGUUCCGACCCGCACGAAAGGCGUAACGAUCUGGGCACUGUCUCGGAGAGAGACUCGGCGAAAUAGGAUUGUCUGUGAAGAUACGGACUACCUGCACCUGGACAGAAAGACCCUAUGAAGCUUUACUGUAGCCUGGAAUUGGCUUCGGGCUUCGCUUGCGCAGGAUAGGUGGGAAGCUUUGAAACUCUCCUCGUGGGGAGGGUGGAGCUAACGGUGAGAUACCACUCUGGCGAGGCUAGAAUUCUAACCCUGACCCCUAAUCGGGGCGGGAGACAGUUUCAGGUGGGCAGUUUGACUGGGGCGGUCGCCUCCUAAAAGGUAACGGAGGCGCGCAAAGGUUCCCUCGGUCCCGUUGGAAAUGGGACGAUAGAGUGCAAAAGCAGAAGGGAGCUUGACUGUGAGACCCACAAGUCGAACAGGGACGAAAGUCGGCUUUAGUGAUCCGACGGCACCGCGUGGAAGGGCCGUCGCUCAACGGAUAAAAGUUACUCUAGGGAUAACAGGCUGAUCUCCCCCAAGAGUUCACAUCGACGGGGAGGUUUGGCACCUCGAUGUCGGCUCAUCGCAACCUGGGGCUGAAGUCGGUCCCAAGGGUUGGGCUGUUCGCCCAUUAAAGCGGUACGUGAGCUGGGUUCAGAACGUCGUGAGACAGUUCGGUCCAUAUCCGGUGUAGGCGUAAGAGCAUUGCGAGGAGCCUUCCUUAGUACGAGAGGACCGGGAAGGACGCACCGCUGGUGUACCUGUUAUCGUGCCAACGGUAAACGCAGGGUAGCCAUGUGCGGAGCGGAUAACCGCUGAAAGCAUCUAAGUGGGAAGCCCACCUCCAGAUGAUUGCUCUCAUGGCAUUAAGCCAGUAAGGUCUCGGGUAGACUACCCGUUGAUAGGCUCUAGAUGGAAGCUCGGUAACGAGUGCAGUCGAGGAGUACUAACCGACCGAGGGCUUGACCUG